This 73-nucleotide transfer RNA is filed under the name Cysteiniphilum litorale. It matches the Rfam family "tRNA". Rfam says of the family: Transfer RNA (tRNA) molecules are approximately 80 nucleotides in length. Their secondary structure includes four short double-helical elements and three loops (D, anti-codon, and T loops). Lineage: Bacteria; Pseudomonadati; Pseudomonadota; Gammaproteobacteria; Thiotrichales; Fastidiosibacteraceae. The record is from Rfam by way of RNAcentral.
GCCGACAUGGCUCAACUGGUAGAGCAGCCGACUUGUAAUCGGCAGGUUCCGGGUUCAAGUCCUGGUGUCGGCA